RNAcentral lists this ribosomal RNA (253 nucleotides) under uncultured bacterium. RNAcentral's name for it is "partial 16S ribosomal RNA". It matches the Rfam family "Bacterial small subunit ribosomal RNA", at positions 524 to 776 of the family's 1533-position model. The record is from RNAcentral.
UACGGGGGGGGCAAGCGUUGUUCGGAAUUACUGGGCGUAAAGGGCGCGUAGGCGGGAUGGCAAGUCGGUCGUGAAAUCCCUCGGCUCAACCGAGGAACGUCGAUCGAUACUGCUGUUCUUGAGGAUUGCAGAGGAGACUGGAAUUCCCGGUGUAGCGGUGAAAUGUGUAGAGAUCGGGAGGAACACCGGUGGCGAAGGCGGGUCUCUGGGCAAUUCCUGACGCUGAGGCGCGAAAGCGUGGGGAGCGAACAGG